RNAcentral lists this long non-coding RNA (1491 nucleotides) under Equus caballus (horse). RNAcentral's name for it is "lncRNA (ENSECAG00000055393.1)". The record is from RNAcentral. Lineage: Eukaryota; Metazoa; Chordata; Mammalia; Perissodactyla; Equidae.
CUAGAACACUCUGAUUCAGCAGGUGGAUGGUGGGCCUGAGCGUCUUAUUUUUAACAAACUCCCCAGGGGGUUCUCGUGCACAGCCAGGCUUGAGAAUCCCAUUGGUUUAGGUCAAGGCGGGGCAGAUAGAAUAGAUUAGAGGAGACUAGUUGGCGAAAAGCACAUCAGCUCCACCCAUGCUGCAGUGGGGUCAGCAGUAAGAGGCGUCCCAGCUCUUUCUAGCUGGCCCAUGAGUGAGUCCUAACAUUGCAAAGCCUCAGUUAUCUCAUCAUUAAAAUGGGAAUCACGGCAAUGGCCCCAGAGUAUAAAUGUGAGAGUUAAAUAGACGAUGCCCACAGGGCACUUGACAGAGGGCUUGGCACAGAAUGAGAAGUGAAUAAAUGUUAGUCGUUGUCAUUCUUAUUGUCAUUGUUGUUAGGACUUCUAAAGAAGCGUGGAGGCCCUUUGACUAGUGUGUCAGGAAGUAGCCCUGUUCCAAAAAGUCUUUCUGAGAGGAAGCCAGUAAAUCUUGCUCCGGCUAAAAAAAAAAAGAAACAUAAAUAAUAAUAAAAAAGAAAGAGUAUCUAGGUUUGGGGUGGGGCCUGGGGAUUCUGAAAAGGCGGAGGGAGGUGCAGGCAAAGAGCUGGAGAACUUGGGCGGCUGGUGGAGUGGAAGAGCCCUGAGCGGAAGCCCGGAGACCUGAGGCCGGGCUUGGCUCCGGGCGUGUGCCAGGCCUUCGGGGAUCUAGAACUCAGAUGGAGAAGAGAGGUGUUGUGUGUCCUUAUCACAUCUUCCCCCAGCAACUAUUGAGGAAAAUAAAUAAAGAAGUAUAGAUGAGUAAUAAGACAUCACAUCCACUAGAGACUCUUGAUCCGACAUCCGAUGAAUCCAUCCGCUUCCAAGGUGACUAGUUCAUCAGUUAAGGUCAAGAAGAGGAAUGCAGCAGUGUAACUACGGCAACCGUGGCUGAUUUCAAGCUACCAACAUGAUGUCAUUGAAUAUGGAGUUGGGAAGAAUGCACACAAUUGGCUCUGCUUGAGUGUAAGAUGAUCCUAAAGAUUGAAAAUCAGUGAAGAAAAUGGUGCAGAAAGAAGAUCGUACCUCCUAAAGAAGACUGUGCCCCACCACCUCGCUCCUUCCCCCCUUUACCCCCAUAAAAUCUUUUCUUCUUUGGGCUGAAUUGUGUCACCUCAAAAUUCAUCUGCUGAAAUCCUAACCCUCAGUACUUUGGAAUGUGACUGUACUUGGAGAUAGGGUCUAUCAGAGGCAAUGAAGUUAAAAUGAGGUCAUGGGGGUGGGGAGUGUCUUAAUCCAAUAAGACUGGUGUCCUUCUCAGAAGAGGAAAGUCUGGACACAGACACACACAAAGGGAAGACCAAGUGAGGACACAGCAAGAAGGUGGCCAUCUGCAAACCAAGGAGAGAGGCCUCAGUAGAAAGCAACCCUGCUGACAUCUUGAUCUCAGAGCUCUAACCUUUAGAACUGUGAGAGGAUAAAUUUCCAUUGUUUCAG